CCCCUAGACGUUCUGGGCUGCACGCGCGCUACAAUAAUACGCACAGCGAGUAUCACCGAGCUCGAAAGGGCAAGGUAAACAAUAGAAAAGGUACUGUAAUGGUUAUAGAUCCUUGUAAUUAUUGAUCUUCAACGAGGAAUUCCUAGUAAGUAUGUGUCAUCAUCACGCACUGAUUACGUCCCUGCCCUUUGUACACACCACCCGUCGCUCCUACCGAUUGGGUGAGCCGAUGAAACUCUCGGAUGUAGGCUAUUCAUAGCCCGCAGAAGAGAUUUGAAUCGUAGCGCUUAGAGGAAGGAGAAGUCGUAACA
Molecule: ribosomal RNA, 311 nt
Filed under: uncultured eukaryote
Lineage: Eukaryota
Description: partial 18S ribosomal RNA
Rfam family: Eukaryotic small subunit ribosomal RNA
Source: RNAcentral